Microcebus murinus (gray mouse lemur) is the source of this 2199-nucleotide non-coding RNA. The record is from the annotation of a RefSeq genome assembly. Lineage: Eukaryota; Metazoa; Chordata; Mammalia; Primates; Cheirogaleidae.
GGUUCAGGGUCUCGGGGUCAGUCACCAAGGCAUUUUUGAGGUCAGGAAAGGGGGCUCAGGAGAGGCCCCCACAAAUGGGGGCUGGAGAGCCAGCCUCCCUCUCACCAAGUCCGGCCCAGGUGUCCCUGUGUGGUCCGGGCCCCCACCGUCCCCUCUGCCCGGACCUCUGGCCCCUCCGAAGAUCCCGCCUCCCGGGGCAGGAGUGGCUGGGCCACUCUGGCCUGUCUGCCGGCCGGCCGUGGCCUGGGAGUGACGGUGGCCCCACAGAGGGUCUCAGGACCCUCUGGCCCAGGUGGGAUGCGGGCGGACAGCCCAGGGAACCAGGACUCGGCAGUCGGCCUCCGUGUAGCGCCUGGAGACCCGCCGGUCUCAGGCGGCCGGGGCGACACCAGGCAGGGUGACAGGGGUUUUUGUGGGGUGGCGACGGGGUAUCGGCCACUGUGACUACUACGGUAUGGAUUACUGGGGCCAAGGGACCCUGGUCACCGUCUCUUCAGAGAGCUCGUCACCCCCGUCGCUGUUCCCCCUGGUCUCCUGCGACGGCGCCGUGCUGGAUGCGAGCACGGUGGUGGUGGGCUGCCUGGCCCGGGACUUCCUGCCCGACUCCGUGUCCUUCUCCUGGAACUACAAGAACUCCUCCGCCGUCAGCAGCGUCCGGACCUUCCCGUCCGUGCUGAGGGAGGGCAGGUACACGGCCACCUCGCAGGUGCUGCUGCCCUCCAAGGACGUGCUGCAGGGCACCGACGAGCACGUGGUGUGCAAGGUGCGGCACAACAACGGCAACAAGGACCUGGACGUGCCGCUGCCAGUGGUGACUGUUGAGGCCCCCACCGUGACCGUGUUCAUCCCGCCUCGAGACACCUUCUCCAGCACCAGCUCCCGCACGUCCAAGCUCCUCUGCCAGGUCACAGGCUUCCGCCCCCGGCAGAUCGCCGUGUCCUGGCUGCGCGAGGGGAAGCUGGUGGAGUCCGGCAUCACCACGGGCCCGGUGGAGCCGGAGGCCAACGGGUCUGGGCCCUCCACCUUCAAGGUCACCAGCACACUGACUGUCAACGAGAGCGACUGGCUUAUCCAGACCGUGUUCACCUGCCGCGUGGAACACAGCGGCCUGACCUUCCUGAAGAACGUGUCCUCCACGUGUGGCACCAGCCCCUCCGCAGGCAUCCGCGUCUUCACCAUCCCCCCCUCGUUUGCCAGCAUCUUCCUCACCAAGUCAGCCAAGCUGUCCUGCCUGGUCACUGACCUGGCCACCUAUGACAGCCUGACCAUCUCCUGGACCCGCCAGAACGGCAAGGCCCUGAAAACCCACACCAACAUCUCCGAGAGCCACCCCAACGCCACCUUCAGCGCCCUGGGCGAGGCCAGCAUCUGCGAGGACGAGUGGGACUCCGGGGAGAGGUUCACGUGCACCGUGACCCACUCGGACCUGCCCGCGCCGCUCAAGCAGAGCCUCUCCAAGCCCAAGGGUGUGGCCCUGCACAAGCCGGACAUCUACAUGCUGCCACCGGCCCGGGAGCAGCUGAGCCUGCGGGAGGCGGCCACCAUCACCUGCCUGGUGAAGGGCUACUCCCCCGCGGACGUGUCCGUGCAGUGGAUGCAGAGGGGGCAGCCCGUGUCCCCGGACAAGUACGUGACCAGCGCCUCGGCGCCCGAGCCCCACGCCCCAGGCCUCUACUUCACCCACAGCUUCCUGACCGUGUCCGAGGAGGAGUGGAGCUCGGGGGAGGCCUUCACCUGCGUCGUGGUCCACGAGGCCCUGCCCAACAGGGUCACCGAGAGGACCGUGGACAAGUCCACCGAGGGGGAGGUGAGUGCUGAGGAGGAGGGCUUCGAGAGCUUGUGGACCACUGCCUCCACCUUCAUCGUCCUCUUCCUCCUGAGCCUCUUCUACAGCACCACUGUCACCUUGUUCAAGGUGAAAUGACCCCCCCGCGCCCCCCCCCCACGGAAGAGCAUCGGAGACCAAAGACCCGGGACCAGAGGGGCACCACGUCCGAGCCUGGGGCCACCCGGCCUACGUGUCCUGCUGGCUUGUACUCAACUCCCCGCCGUGUUGCCUGCAGCUCUGAGCUCCAAAUGCAGGCUUCUCUCUGACCGGCUGGACGCCCAUUGCGUGGGGCUGCAGCACAGGGUCUGCCCAGCACUGCUUUGCCACGUGCGCUUGUACCCUACAAUAAACGUGUAUUUUAUCUUGUGAAA